CCAGACUCCUACGGGAGGCAGCAGUGGGGAAUAUUGCACAAUGGGGGAAACCCUGAUGCAGCAACGCCGCGUGAGUGAAGAAGUCAUUCGUGAUGUAAAGCUCUAUCAGCAGGGAAGAAAAUGACGGUACCUGAGUAAGAAGCCCCGGCUAACUACGUGCCAGCAGCCGCGGUAAUACGUAGGUGGCGAGCGUUGUCCGGAUUUACUGGGCGUAAAGGGAGCGUAGGCGGACUUUUAAGUGAGAUGUGAAAUACUCGGGCUCAACUUGAGUGCUGCAUUUCAAACUGGAAGUCUAGAGUGCAGGAGAGGAGAAUGGAAUUCCUAGUGUAGCGGUGAAAUGCGUAGAGAUUAGGAAGAACACCAGUGGCGAAGGCGACUUUCUGGACUGUACCUGACGCUGAGGCGCGAAAGCGUGGGUAGCGAACGGGAUUAGAUACCCGCGUACA
Molecule: ribosomal RNA, 446 nt
Filed under: uncultured bacterium
Lineage: Bacteria
Description: bacterial SSU rRNA
Rfam family: Bacterial small subunit ribosomal RNA
Source: RNAcentral